ACUCCUACGGGAGGCAGCAGUGGGGAAUAUUGGACAAUGGGCGCAAGCCUGAUCCAGCCAUGCCGCGUGUGUGAAGAAGGCCCUCGGGUUGUAAAGCACUUUCAGUGAGGAAGAAAGCUUGUCGGUUAAUACCCGGCAAGGACGACAUCACUCACAGAAGAAGCACCGGCUAACUCCGUGCCAGCAGCCGCGGUAAUACGGAGGGUGCGAGCGUUAAUCGGAAUUACUGGGCGUAAAGCGUGCGUAGGCGGCUUGGUAAGCCGGUUGUGAAAGCCCCGGGCUCAACCUGGGAACGGCAUCCGGAACUGUCAGGCUAGAGUGCAGGAGAGGAAGGUAGAAUUCCCGGUGUAGCGGUGAAAUGCGUAGAGAUCGGGAGGAAUACCAGUGGCGAAGGCGGCCUUCUGGACUGACACUGACGCUGAGGUACGAAAGCGUGGGUAGCAAACAGGAUUAGAUACCCUGGUAGGCUCUG
Molecule: ribosomal RNA, 472 nt
Filed under: uncultured bacterium
Lineage: Bacteria
Description: bacterial SSU rRNA
Rfam family: Bacterial small subunit ribosomal RNA
Source: RNAcentral